UUAACAGAACUGUGGGGACACGUAAGGAGAGCGGGAGCCGGGAAUGGAAAGCCCGGUACAAGCGAGGUACCAGUACGGUAGGAAAAUCCGCCGUGCAAUGGGAAGACGUGAUGUGGAGUGAAAUAUAGUAACGAAGCCCGUGAGCCAUGCGUCAAGAAAAGCCGCUAUUGUUUAUACUGUACCCGUACCGUAAACCGACACAGGUGGAUGAGGAGAGAAUCCUAAGGCCGGCGGAAGAAGUAUUGCCAAGGAACUCGGCAAAAUGGCCCCGUAACUUAGGGAGAAGGGGUGCCUGCGAGAGCAGGCCGCAGAGAAUAGGCUCAAGCAACUGUUUAGCAAAAACACAGGUCUAUGCGAAACCGAAAGGUGAGGUAUAUGGGCUGACGCCUGCCCGGUGCUGGAAGGUUAAGAGGAGAGGUUAGACGCAAGUCGAAGCUUUGAAUUUAAGCCCCAGUAAACGGCGGCCGUAACAAUAACGGUCCUAAGGUAGCGAAAUUCCUUGUCGGGUAAGUUCCGACCCGCACGAAAGGCGUAAUGAUUUGAGCGCUGUCUCGGCAAUACAUCCGGUGAAAUUGAAGUGCCAGUGAAGAUGCUGGCUACCCGCGCCAGGACGGAAAGACCCCAUGGAGCUUUACUCCAGUUUGGCACUGGGGUCCGGUGUUGCAUGUACAGGAUAGGUGGGAGGCUGAGAGAUAGUGACGUCAGUUGCUAUGGAGCCGCUGUUGGGAUACCACCCUUGUGAUAUUGGGCUUCUAACCAGCCGCCGUGAACCGGCGGUGGGACAAUGCCAGGCGGGGAGUUUGACUGGGGCGGUCGCCUCCGAAAGGGUAUCGGAGGCGCCCAAAGGUUCCCUCAGAAUGGACGGAAACCAUUCGAAGAGUGCAAAGGCAGAAGGGAGCUUGACUGCGACACCGACGGGUGGAGCAGGUACGAAAGUAGGGCUUAGUGAUCCGGUGGUAUUAAGUGGGAAUGCCAUCGCUCAACGGAUAAAAGCUACCCUGGGAUAACAGGCUUAUCACUCCCAAGAGUUCACAUCGACGGAGUGGUUUGGCACCUCGAUGUCGGCUCAUCGCAUCCUGGGGCUGUAGUAGGUCCCAAGGGUUGGGCUGUUCGCCCAUUAAAGCGGUACGCGAGCUGGGUUCAGAACGUCGUGAGACAGUUCGGUCCCUAUCCGGCGUGGGCGCAGGAUAUCUGAGAGGAGCUGUCCUUAGUACGAGAGGACCGGGAUGGACGGACCGCUGGUAGACCGGUUGGCUUGCCAAAGCCAUGGCCGGGUAGCCAAGUCCGGAAGGGAUAAACGCUGAAGGCAUCUAAGCGUGAAGCCCCCCUCAAGAUGAGAUAUCCCAUUCUUUAAGAAGUAAACCCCCUUGAAGACGACGAGGUAGAUAGGGCAGAGGUGGAAGUGUGGUAACACAUGGAGCUGACUGUUACUAAUCGGGUGAGGGCUUGAUC
Molecule: ribosomal RNA, 1452 nt
Filed under: metagenome
Description: bacterial LSU rRNA
Rfam family: Bacterial large subunit ribosomal RNA
Source: RNAcentral